UACCAGACUCCUACGGGAGGCAGCAGUGAGGAAUAUUGGUCAAUGGGCGGGAGCCUGAACCAGCCAAGUCGCGUGAGGGAUGACGGCCCUAUGGGUUGUAAACCUCUUUUGCCGGGGAGCAAAGUGCCGCACGUGUGCGGUUUGGAGAGUACCCGGAGAAAAAGCAUCGGCUAACUCCGUGCCAGCAGCCGCGGUAAUACGGAGGAUGCGAGCGUUAUCCGGAAUUACUGGGUGUAAAGGGAGCGUAGACGGCGAGGUAAGCCUGAAGUGGAAGCCCGCGGCCCAACCGCGGAACUGCUUUGGGAACUGUUUUGCUGGAGUAUGGGAGGGGUAAGCGGAAUUCCUGGUGUAGCGGUGAAAUGCGUAGAUAUCAGGAGGAACACCGGUGGCGAAGGCGGCUUACUGGACCAUAACUGACGUUGAGGCUCGAAAGCGUGGGGAGCGAACAGGAUUAGAUACCCCUGUAA
Molecule: ribosomal RNA, 467 nt
Filed under: uncultured bacterium
Lineage: Bacteria
Description: bacterial SSU rRNA
Rfam family: Bacterial small subunit ribosomal RNA
Source: RNAcentral